This 2004-nucleotide long non-coding RNA is filed under the name Ornithorhynchus anatinus (platypus). RNAcentral describes it as "lncRNA (ENSOANG00000042045.1)". Lineage: Eukaryota; Metazoa; Chordata; Mammalia; Monotremata; Ornithorhynchidae. The record is from RNAcentral.
AUGGGGGGGGGGGAAGGGGACGGCGGGUCGGGGUCCCGGGGACCCUGGGGUCCCGGGAGAGAGGGUGGGGGGGAACUUCAGGGACGUGAUUACCGGUCCGAUGCCGGUCCACUCCGCCCGGGCUGUGUCAGCGUCACUUCCAGGGAGCCCUGGGGGAGGUCAGAGACCACAUGGUCAGAGCCCCCCCCAAAAAAACUGGGCCGCGCCCCGGGCCUUAAUCUGGGGACCCCGCCACCUGAGGAACGGGCCACGGUCCCCGCCGGGGUCCCCGGGGCUGGAUUGGAGGGACGGGGGUUGGGGAGGGGGGAGAGAGUGAGAGAUACGACGACGACAGAGUGUGUGCGUGUGUGUGUGUGUGUGUGUGUGCACGCGGGGGGGAGGGGAUGGAUCACGGGGGGCGUCCAGAAUGCUCCCUCUCCCUAUCCACAGUCGCGGCCGUCCUGGGGGACGGGUCGGGGAGGGGGAAGGCGCCCGUUCCGCCUGUUUCCCCGCUCUGGAAACCCAGCAGAGAUGCGACCCCCGUCCUGGGCUGGGGGGAGGCCCAAGGGCACCGUGGAUGGGCGAAGGCUGCCUCGGUUUCCCUCUUCUGGGUCCCAGCGAGUCGUACCGUCUGCACCACCCUCCCCGCCUCCUCCCCCAUCACCCCAUUCUCUUCCCUCCCCGGGCAGGUCGGAGCAGGCCGGAGAAGAGCUGAGCGCAGGGGAAGGGGAGGAAGAGAGCAGCUCUUCUCUGUCCCCACCCCACCCCCACUCGACCGGCCAAGAGUCUGUCCCCCUCCCUCCCUCCCAGGAGCGGGCAGACAGACCCUGGGAAGACAGUCCCUGGGUCCCCUCCGGACCCCGGGAGGCAAUGGUUAUGUGGGGUGAGAUUGGGGGGGGGGGGAAGCAGAGAGCCCCGGGCCCUUCGGGUCCCGGGUGGCGGGGGAUGAGGGAGGGUCGCAGAGAAGCCUGGUCCCUGGCGCCCCGGCCCCUUCUCCUCCCCCACCCCCUCUAUAUUUAUCCGCCCUCGCCAGGUGUUGGCACCGGACCCGCCGCUCAGCUCCCUCCGCCUGGGCACCGGGCCACGGGCCCUGCCGGGGUCCCCGGGGCUGGAGUGGAGGGGCGGGGGUUGGCGGUGGGGGGGAAAGUGAGAGAGACGGGGGGGGGGGAACAGAGUGUGCGAGUGCGUGUGUGCACGCGGGGGGGAGGGGGCUGGAUCACGGGGGGCGUCCAGAACGCUCCCUUCUCCCGAUCCACAGUGGCGGCCGUCCUGGGGGCCGGGGGGGGGGGGGGGAGGGCAGGUGGGGAGGGCGCCCGUUCCUCUGCUCUGGAAACCCAGCAGAGAUGCGACCCCCGUCCUCCCCUGGGGCGGAGGGGGAUAAGGGUGGUUGGGCACGGAGAGUGGGGGUUUGGGUGCGGACUCGGUCUCGGCCUCCUUCCCCUUCGCCCCCCCCCUCCCGCCCCCCUUUUCGCGGGGCCCCGGCCGUGGGGGCGGGGAGCGGAGCCGGGGGUCCCAGCCGCCCCAGCCGCCCCAGCCGGCCCGGCCGCAUUCCUUGGCUCAGGCGGAGGCGGAAGGAGACGGGACGGGGACGCGGUCCUGGCGGCAGGAAAGGGAGAGGCCGGGACGGGACGGGACGGGACGGGACGGGACGGGACGGGACGGGACCGGCCGGACCCCGCGAGACGCCCCCUCCGCCCGGGGCUCCCCAGGGCAGGUGGGGCCUACAAGAGUCGCAGAAAGCAUCGGUGGGGCUGCCCCUCGCGUCCUCCCUCCUUCGGAGCCCCCGGGGGCGAAGGCGGAGAGACCCCCGGGGGUGGGGACAGGACGGAUGCGGUGGAGGGCUGCCGCCGGGGCUACGGACACCCUCGGGACUCACCCUCCCGCCGCCCGCCGGGCCGGGGCUCCGCAGCUCGAAGGACUCCUCUUCCUCCUCCUCGUCCUCCUCGUCCUCCUCCUCCUCCUGGUCUCGAUCGCCCUCGUCCCCGCCGGGCUCCCCCUCCCCGUAGUCCCGCCGCAGGAGGGUGA